UACGUAGGUGGCAAGCGUUGUCCGGAAUUAUUGGGCGUAAAGCGCUCGCAGGCGGUUUCUUACGUCUGUUGUGGAAGUCCACGGCUCAACCGUGGAGGGUCAUUGGAUACUGGGAGACUUGAGUGCAGAAGAGGAAAGUGGAAUUCCAUGUGUAGCGGUGAAAUGCGUAGAGAUAUGGAGGAACACCAGUGGCGAAGGCAACUUUCUGGUCUGUAACUGACACUGAGGCGCGAAAGCAUGGGGAGCGAACAGG
This 253-nucleotide unclassified non-coding RNA is filed under the name uncultured Bacillaceae bacterium. Its description in RNAcentral is "contains 16S-23S intergenic spacer region". It matches the Rfam family "Bacterial small subunit ribosomal RNA", at positions 524 to 776 of the family's 1533-position model. The record is from RNAcentral. Lineage: Bacteria; Bacillati; Bacillota; Bacilli; Caryophanales; Bacillaceae.